Molecule: ribosomal RNA, 490 nt
Filed under: uncultured bacterium
Lineage: Bacteria
Description: partial 16S ribosomal RNA
Rfam family: Bacterial small subunit ribosomal RNA
Source: RNAcentral
AUUGAACGCUGGCGGCAGGCCUAACACAUGCAAGUCGAACGGUAACAGAAAGCAGCUUGCUGCUUUGCUGACGAGUGGCGGACGGGUGAGUAAUGUCUGGGAAACUGCCUGAUGGCGGGGGAUAACUACUGGAAACGGUAGCUAAUACCGCAUAACGUCGCAAGACCAAAGAGGGGGACCUUCUGGCCUCUUGCCAUCGGAUGUGCCCCGAUGGGAUUAGCUAGUAGGUGGGGUAAAGGCUCACCUAGGCGACGAUCCCUAGCUGGUCUGAGAGGAUGACCAGCCACACUGGAACUGAGACACGGUCCAGACUCCUACGGGAGGCAGCAGUGGGGAAUAUUGCACAAUGGGCGCAAGCCUGAUGCAGCCAUGCCGCGUGUAUGAAGAAGGCCUUCGGGUUGUAAAGUACUUUCAGCGGGGAGGAAGGGAGUAAAGUUAAUACCUCUGCUCAUUGACGUUACCCGAAGAAGAAGCACCGGCUAACUCCGUG